Molecule: ribosomal RNA, 465 nt
Filed under: uncultured bacterium
Lineage: Bacteria
Description: partial 16S ribosomal RNA
Rfam family: Bacterial small subunit ribosomal RNA
Source: RNAcentral
CUACGGGCUGCUCCAGUGAGGAAUAUUGCACAAUGGGGGGAACCCUGAUCCAGCAAUGCCGCGUGUGUGAAGAAGGCCUGCGGGUUGUAAAGCACUUUCGGUUGGGAGGACUGCUUCUAGCACUAAUAUUGUUGGAAGUUGACGUUACCUUCAGAAGAAGCACCGGCUAACUCCGUGCCAGCAGCCGCGGUAAUACGGAGGGUGCACGCGUUAAUCGGAAUUACUGGGCGUAAAGCGCGCGUAGGCGGCUAGAUCAGUCGGGUGUGAAAGCCCCGGGCUUAACCUGGGAACUGCAUCCGAUACUGUCUAGCUUGAGUACAGGAGAGGAGAGUGGAAUUCCACAUGUAGCGGUGAAAUGCGUAGAUAUGUGGAGGAACACCAAUGGCGAAGGCAGCUCUCUGGCCUGAUACUGACGCUGAGGUGCGAAAGCGUGGGGAGCAAACAGGAUUAGAUACCCUAGUAGUC